RNAcentral lists this ribosomal RNA (464 nucleotides) under uncultured bacterium. RNAcentral describes it as "partial 16S ribosomal RNA". It matches the Rfam family "Bacterial small subunit ribosomal RNA", at positions 28 to 507 of the family's 1533-position model. The record is from RNAcentral.
GACGAACGCUGGCGGCGUGCUUAACACAUGCAAGUCGAACGAUGAACCGGUUCUUGCCGGGGGUUAGUGGCGAACGGGUGAGUAACACGCCGGCAAUUCUCCCUGCACUCUGGGAUAAGCCCCGGAAACUGGGUCCAAUUCCGGCAACGACACUCCGAGGCAUCUUGGGGGGUGGUAGGUUCCGGCGGUGCCGGAUGAGCCCGCGGCCUAUUAGCUAGUUGGUGGGGUAAUGGCCUACCAAGGCGACGAAGGGUAGCCGGCCUGAGAGGGUGACCGGCCACACUGGGACUGAGAGACGGCCCAGACUCCUACGGGAGGCAGCAGUGGGGAAUAUUGCACAAUGGGCGAAAGCCUGAUGCAGCGACGCCGCGUGAGGGAUGACGGCCUUCGGGUUGUAAACCUCUUUCAGCAGGGAAGAAGCGAAAGUGACGGUACCUGCAGAAGAAGCACCGGCUAACUACGUG